UAGUGUGCUUGCACAUUAUUUUAGUGGCGAACGGGUGAGUAAUGCCUAGGAAUCUGCCCAUUAGCGGGGGAUAACGUGUGGAAACGCACGCUAAUACCGCAUACGCCCUACGGGGGAAAGCAGGGGACUCUUUUAGAGCCUUGCACUAAUGGAUGAGCCUAGGUCGGAUUAGCUAGUUGGUGGGGUAAAGGCCUACCAAGGCGACGAUCUGUAGCGGGUCUGAGAGGAUGAUCCGCCACACUGGAACUGAGACACGGUCCAGACUCCUACGGGAGGCAGCAGUGGGGAAUAUUGGACAAUGGGGGCAACCCUGAUCCAGCCAUGCCGCGUGUGUGAAGAAGGCCUUUUGGUUGUAAAGCACUUUAAGCGAGGAGGAGGCUACCUGUAUUAAUACUAUAGGCUAGUGGACGUUACUCGCAGAAUAAGCACCGGCUAACUCUGUGCCAGCAGCCGCGGUAAUACAGAGGGUGCGAGCGUUAAUCGGAAUUACUGGGCGUAAAGCGCGCGUAGGCGGUUUGUUAAGUCGGAUGUGAAAUCCCCGGGCUCAACCUGGGAAUUGCAUUCGAUACUGGCAAGCUAGAGUAUGGGAGAGGAAGGUAGAAUUCCAGGUGUAGCGGUGAAAUGCGUAGAGAUCUGGAGGAAUACCGAUGGCGAAGGCAGCCUUCUGGCCUAAUACUGACGCUGAGGUGCGAAAGCAUGGGGAGCAAACAGGAUUAGAUACCCUGGUAGUCCAUGCCGUAAACGAUGUCAACUAGCCGUUGGGGGAUUUGAUCCUUUAGUGGCGCAGCUAACGCGAUAAGUUGACCGCCUGGGGAGUACGGUCGCAAGACUAAAACUCAAAUGAAUUGACGGGGGCCCGCACAAGCGGUGGAGCAUGUGGUUUAAUUCGAUGCAACGCGAAGAACCUUACCUGGUCUUGACAUAGU
Molecule: ribosomal RNA, 926 nt
Filed under: uncultured bacterium
Lineage: Bacteria
Description: bacterial SSU rRNA
Rfam family: Bacterial small subunit ribosomal RNA
Source: RNAcentral